This 325-nucleotide unclassified non-coding RNA is filed under the name uncultured fungus. RNAcentral's name for it is "partial contains 5.8S ribosomal RNA and internal transcribed spacer 2". The stretch from base 1 to 133 matches the Rfam family "5.8S ribosomal RNA", at positions 22 to 154 of the family's 154-position model. The record is from RNAcentral. Lineage: Eukaryota; Fungi.
UGGUUCUGGCAUCGAUGAAGAACGCAGCGAAAUGCGAUAAGUAAUGCGAAUUGCAGAAUUCAGUGAGUCAUCGAAUCUUUGAACGCACAUUGCGCCCUUUGGUAUUCCGAAGGGCAUGCCUGUUCGAGCGUCAUUAUUAAACCCUCAAGCUUGGCUUGUUGUUGGACCCCCUGUCGCCAGGUGACAGGUCCCAAAGAUAAUAACUGGUGUCGUGAGACUCUAUAUGCAACGAGCUUAUCAUAGCACGCAUCUAGGAGUGACCAGGCCCCGGUAUAACCCCAUUAUUCUCCAGGUUGACCUCGGAUCAGGUAGGAAUACCCGCUGA